AGGAGAGGGGCGGGGAUGGAGCUGGUGGGAGUUGCUGGGGCUCCCUCGGUGCCGCGGGGUUGGGCGGGCCCGGGGCGGGCCCUGAGCGCGAGCCGGUGCUUGAGGGCCGGGGCGGUGCCUCCGCGGCCGCUGCUCCGCGGCCGUUCCCGGGGCGGGGCGGCCCCCCCCGGGCCGGGGGAGCUGCAGGGCCGGGAGGAGCCGAGAGGAGCGCGGCUGUGGGGCGGCCCCGGGCCGGGUAAACACACCGAGAUUCCUGCGGCCCUUCAGGCAAACUAUCAUGACUCUGAGGAUAAGACUGUGGAUACAGUCAGUACUGAAAACUCACCAAGUUGUUCCAGGACAAUAGAUUCCCUGCAACAGAAGAUUGCAGAAUGUGAGAAGAGGAAUGCCAAGUCACAGGAAAGCCGUAGCUUUUAUAUUUUUAAGCGAUACUUGAAUAAAAUUUUAAAUGAAGCUGGAAAACUUGGCCUUCCUGACGAAAACGUGGGCCAAGUCCACUACGACGCUGAGAUCAUCCUUACAAAACAGACAUAUCUGGAGAUCCUCAGGUUUCUCAAUGAGGAAAGCUGGCAGCCAGGUGCCAUGGAUGAUGCACUUAGUGAUAUUUUGAUCAAUUUUAAGCACCAUGAUUAUCAAGCUUGGCACUGGAGAUUUGAGGACACUUUUGGAAUUGACCUAUAUAAUUUGUUUUUGCUACUCUUGUGCUUAGUGUGCAUUGUAACUGUAAUAGCUACAGAGCUCUGGACACGUAUCCUUUGGUUUGUUCAGCUAAAACGUCUUUUGUUAAUAAGUUUUUUCAUCAGUUUUGCAUGGAAUUGGCUUUACUUGUAUAAGUUGGCCUUUGCACAGCAUCAAGCAGAAAUUGCGAAAAUGGGCCACUUUGAUAACAUCUGUGCUGAGAAGUUGGACUGGCGAGAAAGUCUUUUUGAAUGGCUUAGAAGCACAUGGACAUUACAGGACGAUCCCUGUCAGAAGUAUUAUGAAACUCUACUUGUAAAUCCUAUUUUGCUGGUUCCACCAACAAAGGCCUUGGCAAUUACUUUCACCAACUUUGUAACUGAGCCUUUGAAGCACGUAGGGCAAGGUAUUGGUGAAUUCAUCAAGGCACUGAUGAAGGAGAUUCCGUUCGUUCUGCAGGUUCCAGUACUAAUUAUGAUGGCUCUGGCUGUCCUGGCUUUUUGCUAUGGUGCAGGAUCAUCGGUGUCUGCGUUAAGAUACUUAACAUCUUCUCAGAAGAAAAGUCUUCCUCCACCUGAUAGUCAACAGGAGCAAAUAGGCUUUGGGCAGUACGAUGGGAGGCAAUCAGAGGACUAUUACUUGCAGAAGCACCCAUAUGUGUACAGAGGACACCAGGACAGAGGAGAUGGCUCUGCGAGACCUCCCCUCACUGUGAGAGCAGCGAAUGGCAGCAGGAACCCCGACACAGCACAGACCAGCAAUGAGCCGGACACACACGUACAAGAGUCUCACAAACCAGAACCUAAUAAUAGGUUGUACACUGAGUCUGAAGUUCAUAGACUAGAAACUCUCAAAGCGGAAAACCAUACUGAGGAACCUGCAGUUGAGCAGCAGAAACAGGAGACAGGCAAAGCAGAGCGAGAGGCUGGAGAAAACUGUGAUCCCAAUAAAAACCUAGAAGGGAAAAGCUCUGUGAUGGAGCAACGUGAAGAGAAGGAAAAGAGCAUUUUACGCGACUCCCAGGAAGGAGACUAAGGAAGGCCCGAGCUCUGCUGUGGAGUAGAGGAUUUUGCCACUGAAGCAGCUGGGAGUCUGUUCUUCUCCUGGAAGUAGCACCUCUGGUCGUCCAUUCUGUUGCUCUGGAAUCGACUCAGCAGAUCAAAGAACCCUUCAUCUGCCAUUGUCUCUCGACUGCUUUUCUGAAAAGGAGAAAAGAUUUAGAGAGGCAAUGCUGACAGGAGAAGAUGUAGAGACAGUCACUCAUCAAUUGGUCUUUCAUCUCAGACUCAUUAACUGCAAUACCUUCACGAGGAACUUUGGUUUUCCAUAUGAAAACCAGAGCCCAGCACUGCAGGGAAUUCACAUUAAUUCAGCUGUCACAUACCGAACAAUGACAGCAGAGCUGGAGGUAACAGGAUUUGCUGUAAGUGUCACACAUACAUGAAACAGUGUCUUAGGGCUUACUUAUCAUUUAAUUCCUGAGCAAUCACCAGGUGUUUCAGAUGAUAAUCGAUGGCUUUCUCGUAGUCCUGGAGCAGAGUGUACGUGUUCCCGAGGCUGUAGCAGGCCUGUGCUUCCACAGCUCUGUCCUUCAGCUGCCGAGCCAGCUGCAGCGUCCUCCUGGAAGAAAGGGUUAGUCACCUCAAAAAUCACUGCAAGGAAAACCUUUCAAAAGUAUCCCUGCACACCUAAAAAUCAGUUAUACAACUUAAACAAAUUAGGAAACCUGGCUGGCAAAUUACCGGCUAAUAAAUUACUUACUAUAUUGUAAACUCUUGCCUUGCCCUUCUCAAAGUAUUUCCAUCUAUUUCAUUCAAGGGCAGGCUGAUCCCUCAAACAGCAUCUUUUAAUCUUAAUUUAUUGCUUCAUUAAUAAUUUGUAGGAGUUUCCCUGACAGUAUGCAAAUUGACACAGUUUAGUACCAGUGUUACAAUAAUGACUUGCCCAUCAGCAGAAGCAAGGCAGGGCUAUACUCACCAAGCCAGCUUGACCCUGCUGGGCAAGAAGAAUUCAAGUGCUAAGAUGAAUCUGCUCAGUACUGAGGCUUUUUUCCCUUUCAAAAAGAACAGGUAAGCUCUGAGAUCCAAGUAAGAUGCUAAUAACACCUGUACUGUAUCUUUGCCAAGCUUUUACUUUCCCAAGUACAGCAGCAACUCUUUAGUGGUGCAGAGGUCAAGAAAAAAGCCUGGAUUAAAAAUACAGACUCAAGAUGUAAAUUUGUGUUGCCAUGCACCACCUCUCUCAGCUACUGAGCACACCCAAGGCAGCCACCCAACUCAGGGUAGAAAAGUUACUCAGAUCCUUCCAGAACUCGCUAAGAGCCAAGACAGUAAUGCCUGGUUCUAAAAUAAAUGGGAACAAAUGCCUAGGAACAGAAAGAUGUCUGUCUACAGUGCUGAGAGGAAUCUAUUUAGAGUAACAAAAGAGUUAAAAAACAACAAAAAAAAUACUAAUCCCACGCUUAAAAGAAUCAGAAUAGUUAAACAGCUAGGAAAAAUAUUUUUGCCAAACAAACAGAAGUUUUAUUCCUAAGUAUAUGUUCAAGAUGGCUAUUCUACAGUGAGCUACAGUACCAGACACAACAAGUAAACUGUACAAGAGGUAUAAAUUGUAUUUAGAAGAAGUCAACUAACUUGUAGUAUUCUGAAGCGGUUUCAAAUUCCCCCAGGAAUAUGUAGGCGUUUCCAAGGUUGCUGUACGCUCUUCUUUCCGCUGAUCUAUCACCAAAUUCUUUUGCAAUUAGGAGACGCUUAAAAAUGUGAAAUAAUUGCAUUAUUUACUCCAUUUUAUACUUUGUAACAUACAUUUGCAUACAGAAAUGCACAUGAAAAAAUGCAUUCUUUAGGUCAGCAAUGCUUGAUAAGAACAGCCAAACUUGAACUUCUGCCAUUAAGAUUUAAAACCUGCAUUAAAAAGCUUGCAACAAGAUCCAACACAACGCAUGUACUAAAGGCCAGGAGCAACCAGUGACAUUCUGCUAGAACAGAAAUCCUUAUUAGCACAUGUUGUACCUGUUCAUGGGCUAAAACUGCACUCCUGAAGUUGCCCAGAAGAUAGUGUGUGUUUCCCAGAUUUCCAAAGGCACGUCCUUGUGCUGCUCUGUCACCCAGCUCUGUUACUAUUGUCAGAUUUUCCCUGUUUUGGGGGAAAGUGAGAAGAAGAAUAGUGACUUUUAAGAGGUUUUUUUUCCUCACGUUCAUUUAAAUAGUAAUUUAAAAAAUCUUUAUAUAAAGGAAAAGGUAGAGAUAUUCUAUUUUGGCCUAUUUCAAUGGCCUUUAUGCAGCCACAGAUCUGAGUAGGAAACAUUUCCUGUGAAGUACUGAACUCCACUGCAUUCUUACUCAAACCAGUGUGCUCACCUCUAGUUACAUAUACAAGUAUAACAAGGUCCUGUCAACUCAGCCUGGUCUGAAGAGCACUACUGGUUUCUAACCUAAGGGAAGGACUUGUGAGGUGCACUAAAAAUGAGGGCAAACAAAAACCAGUGGACUCUGCCACUGAAAACAACAAAUUCACAGGUACCUCAGUUCUGCAUAGAAGUGUUCCACAGUUUAGCUCAUGACACUACAAAUCUCCCAUAUUCUAAUGAACUACAUGAUCAUAUCCUCCCAAUCCCCAACAUUUACUUACUCAUAAUAAUUUGCAGCUUUUUGUAAAGCAUUUUUCACAUCAUCUGGAAGGUCCCCUGGAUCGUGAGUCCCCGCACUAGCUACAUUUUUCCCCUUAGAGUGAUACACAUUUCCCAGAUUAUACAGUGCUCUUGCUUCUCCAACCUAAACCAAAAGUAAAACAAGGCAUUAAAAUUUCAUGCUUCAAAGUCUUUUGUCACAACAACUAUUUGUACAAUCCACGGAUAGGAAAAAAGUUUGUUAACUACUCAUCAAGACACACUCUGCCCAUUCUGAACAUGCUCUUACCAUCCACCCAGUCAUACCCCUCAAUCCAAUUCUUUUGCAUACUACUUCCUUUUGAGGUGCAAGAGACAGAAUAAUUCCUGAGGUCACUCACCAUUAAAAAUUAAAUUAAGAACAGACUCACCACAACAUAGGAUAAUAUUUAACCUGGAUCUGUAGCUUUCCAGGUGCAAACAAUUAUAUUACAACUAAUAGAGUAUUACUGUCUAGAAGAAAUAAUUGAAUAUUCAGUAUUUAUUUCUCUCUGAAAGGGGCACACUCCUUACCAGUACAACAGCAUUCAGGAAUGUGUGUUAGCAGUUUACUUCCAUAUUCCCACACAAUUCUUACCUUAUCAUUAAGCUCUCUGGAAAUAUCCAGAUGUCUUUGACAGCAAACGAUAGCUUCUUCAAAAUUCCCAAGUACCUUUAAGGUGUUGCCCAGAUUCCCACUAGCUUUAGCUUCUCCCAGUAGAUCUCCAAUUGUCCUAAAAUUGCAGAAAUUAAGUACCCAGGAAAUAGUGUACAAUUUGAAACCAAGCAGAUGAUCGAUGUAUGGCAGACAAUUACAUGAAUUUAUGAUCAUCUGCUUAACAUUUUUUAAAAGUUCAUGUCUUUUAUGAAGAGAACAGAGAGAAAAUUCUUAAUGAUGAUGUUGAAAGACAGUCCCAGUAUUAGAAAUAGAGAUUUAACUGUGUCUGUAUUUUACUUGACUGUCAUAGUCUCCUGUUACUUCCAAGACACACCAGUCUCCCAGAAAGCUCAGAGGCACCAGGACAUUGCUAGAUGCUAAAUGAGACUAAGGCAAGAGACUGCCACUGAACCACUGACUCGUACCUGGGGAAUAACACAACAAAUUCCCACAAGAUCACAGCACUUGAGCAGGCUAAGGCAGGGGGAAGAAUAGAUUUAUGCCUAAAUUGAGGUUAAGUACAUUAGGUGCCUGUGUCUUUUAAUGGAUCUAUACCAAAUCAGUAAAACUCAGAUGCAUAAAUAGCAUAUGAAAUGCACAGGGUUUUAGAUUUCACAAUAUUACACUAUGAGUUUCACACAGAUAAACAUGAAUAGGUUCUGUCCAGCAAACAAGAGAGCAGUUUAACAUUCUGGAGAACCAGAAAGACUGAGUUUUAGAAACAGGAAAGGGUAAAGAAAGGGUGGAUUUAAAGAAGCCACUUAAUUAUCCACAACCCUGGUGAGGCCUCAGUUCUAGGAUUAUGGUGCUAGACCAAGUAUUAGCUGCCAGGUUAGAGGCCAACCAAGUGACCUGCCAGACCCCCAGCCCUCUGCCACCACCACGUUCACUCAUUAGCCAGUAUUAAUAGUAGGGUUUGGCAGGAAAAGGAGCAGCCAGCUGCUCAUCUCUACGGGAAUGGGAUGACAUGGAGAACAUGGUUAAGGACACAAGAUUACCUUGCAAGAGUUAAAUCAUGGUGGUGGUAUUCCAAGGCCUUUGCAUAUUCAUGCAGGUAGAAAUAAGCAUUGCCCAGCUGGCUGUAAAUAGCACUCAGGGUACGUAAAUCUUCAGUCCCAACCUGGACAGCGGCUUCAAAGAACGACACACCAGCCCGGCAAUCUCCUGCUUUGCACAGGCGCUCACCUUCCAGAGCCAGCUCCAGGCAGGAAGCCUCCAUCCUGCACAAUGGAAACAAGCAAACAGUCACUCAAAUGCAGUACUUUGUCCAUCACCUGAGUUCUGAAGAGGGUCUUUUACUCACAGGGCUUCUAUUUGUUUAGGAAAGGGAGUUAGCCCCACAGUACAACCAGUGAGCUCUGCAUUAUAAUAUUACAGAAACUUGGGCUGAAAUGGGAGUUGCAACUUCAAUGGUGAUGAGUAAACUUAACAUUACAACAAACA
Pipra filicauda (Wire-tailed manakin) is the source of this 6425-nucleotide RNA transcript. It is a transcript of the gene named chloride channel CLIC like 1, with no coding region annotated. The record is from RefSeq and is a predicted model, not a curated record. The transcript has 12 exons. Lineage: Eukaryota; Metazoa; Chordata; Aves; Passeriformes; Pipridae.